UUGGGACCUCACUCACUCACGC
This 22-nucleotide microRNA is filed under the name Macaca fascicularis (crab-eating macaque). Its description in RNAcentral is "novel_miR19-3p". Lineage: Eukaryota; Metazoa; Chordata; Mammalia; Primates; Cercopithecidae. The record is from RNAcentral.